RNAcentral lists this ribosomal RNA (253 nucleotides) under uncultured bacterium. RNAcentral's name for it is "partial 16S ribosomal RNA". It matches the Rfam family "Bacterial small subunit ribosomal RNA", at positions 524 to 776 of the family's 1533-position model. The record is from RNAcentral.
UACGGGGGGGGCAAGCGUUGUUCGGAAUUACUGGGCGUAAAGGGCUCGUAGGCGGCCAACUAAGUCAGACGUGAAAUCCCUCGGCUCAACCGGGGAACUGCGUCUGAUACUGGAUGGCUUGAAUCCGGGAGAGGGAUGCGGAAUUCCAGGUGUAGCGGUGAAAUGCGUAGAUAUCUGGAGGAACACCGGUGGCGAAGGCGGCGUCCUGGACCAACACUGACACUGAUGAGCGAAAGCCAGGGGAGCAAACGGG